UUUUAUUUGAGAGUUUGAUCCUGGCUCAGGAUGAACGCUGGCGGCGUGCCUAACACAUGCAAGUUGAGCGAUUUACUUCGGUAAAGAGCGGCGGACGGGUGAGUAACGCGUGGGUAACCUACCCUGUACACACGGAUAACAUACCGAAAGGUAUGCUAAUACGGGAUAAUAUAUUUGAGAGGCAUCUCUUGAAUAUCAAAGGUGAGCCAGUACAGGAUGGACCCGCGUCUGAUUAGCUAGUUGGUAAGGUAACGGCUUACCAAGGCGACGAUCAGUAGCCGACCUGAGCGGGUGAUCGGCCACAUUGGAACUGAGACACGGUCCAAACUCCUACGGGAGGCAGCAGUGGGGAAUAUUGCACAAUGGGCGAAAGCCUGAUGCAGCAACGCCGCGUGAGUGAUGAAGGCCUUAGGGUC
Molecule: ribosomal RNA, 416 nt
Filed under: Clostridioides difficile
Lineage: Bacteria; Bacillati; Bacillota; Clostridia; Peptostreptococcales; Peptostreptococcaceae
Description: bacterial SSU rRNA
Rfam family: Bacterial small subunit ribosomal RNA
Source: RNAcentral